This 748-nucleotide ribosomal RNA is filed under the name uncultured Ruminococcus sp. Its description in RNAcentral is "bacterial SSU rRNA". It matches the Rfam family "Bacterial small subunit ribosomal RNA", at positions 28 to 776 of the family's 1533-position model. Lineage: Bacteria; Bacillati; Bacillota; Clostridia; Eubacteriales; Oscillospiraceae. The record is from RNAcentral.
GAUGAACGCUGGCGGCGUGCCUAACACAUGCAAGUCGAGCGAAGCACUUUGCUUAGAUUCUUCGGAUGAAGAGGAUUGUGACUGAGCGGCGGACGGGUGAGUAACGCGUGGGUAACCUGCCUCAUACAGGGGGAUAACAGUUAGACAUGACUGCUAAUACCGCAUAAGACCACAGCACCGCAUGGUGCGGGGGUAAAAACUCCGGUGGUAUGAGAUGGACCCGCGUCUGAUUAGCUAGUUGGUAAGGUAACGGCUUACCAAGGCGACGAUCAGUAGCCGACCUGAGAGGGUGACCGGCCACAUUGGGACUGAGACACGGCCCAAACUCCUACGGGAGGCAGCAGUGGGGAAUAUUGCACAAUGGGGGAAACCCUGAUGCAGCGACGCCGCGUGAGCGAAGAAGUAUUUCGGUAUGUAAAGCUCCAUCAGCAGGGAAGAAAAUGACGGUACCUGACUAAGAAGCACCGGCUAAAUACGUGCCAGCAGCCGCGGUAACACGUAUGGUGCAAGCGUUAUCCGGAUUUACUGGGUGUAAAGGGAGCGUAGACGGAUGGGCAAGUCUGAUGUGAAAACCCGGGGCUCAACCCCGGGACUGCAUUGGAAACUGUUCAUCUAGAGUGCUGGAGAGGUAAGUGGAAUUCCUAGUGUAGCGGUGAAAUGCGUAGAUAUUAGGAGGAACACCAGUGGCGAAGGCGGCUUACUGGACAGUAACUGACGUUGAGGCUCGAAAGUGUGGGGAGCAAACAGG